GGCGCGGCGCGGCUCGGCCUGGCUCCCGGCGGCCCCCCCCGCCCCACAAGUACAUUCAAGCAUAUAUACACCGGCAGCUUAGCCCGCCUAGCCAAUCACCGCACUGUGCUCAUGCACCUCCCGCGUGAGUGGACCUAAAUGAACAGCCAAUCAUAUUCAGUCCCUUACAGCUCUUAUAGUAGGCCUCCUGUACUGGCUCCUGACAGGGAUUCAGACUCCGUGGCAUUCAU
Molecule: long non-coding RNA, 230 nt
Organism: Mustela erminea (ermine)
Lineage: Eukaryota; Metazoa; Chordata; Mammalia; Carnivora; Mustelidae
Exons: 3
Source: RefSeq, a predicted model, not a curated record